Molecule: ribosomal RNA, 1044 nt
Filed under: Triticum aestivum (bread wheat)
Lineage: Eukaryota; Viridiplantae; Streptophyta; Magnoliopsida; Poales; Poaceae
Description: partial small subunit ribosomal RNA
Source: RNAcentral
AUGGAGUUAAGUUUGUCUCAUACGCUUCGUCUUUUUAAUAUCUUUCGUGAGUAUGAUGGAAAGGAAAAUUGUGCUCAAGUGCUAGAGGAAGAAUGCAUUAGAAUGUUUGAUACUAAAUCUUUGAAUGAUGAGUAUGAUUGCAAUGUUGUUAGUAUAAAUUCCUUAAAUAUCCGUGAUGCUAAUGAUAUGCAAAGCCACAAGCUUGGGGAAGCUAUGUUUGAUGAGUAUGAAAUAGUUGAGAAUAUAUUUGCUGAAAUUAAUGAUUGUCCCAAGCUUGGGGAUGUUAUGUUUAAUGAAGAUGAUAUUUUUAGCAUCCCAAGUUUUGAUAUGCAAAGUUGUUAUGAUGAUCGCAUGCCUCCUAUUUAUGAUGAUUAUAUUGAUGAAAGUGGGUUUGGAAGAGUGUCAACUUUAAGUAGUAUUGAUCCCACUAUUUUGGAGGAUAUUAAAUCUUAUUGUGAUGAAUAUGAAAGUGGAUUUGGAAGAGUGUCAACUUUAUUUAGUAAUGAGUCCACUAUUUUAGAAGAGGUUCCAAUUGAUUAUGAGAACAAAGUUGCUAUCUAUGAUGAUUAUUGUGAUGACUUGUAUGCUAUUAAGAAUAAUGAUAACCAUGAAACUUGUCAUCAUGAUUUAAGUUUUCAAUUGGAUUAUGCCUUGCAUGAUAAUUAUUUUGUUGAGUUUGCUCCCACUACUAUUCAUGAAAAGAAAUUUGCCUAUGUGGAGAGUAGUAAAUUUUCUAUGAUUGUAGAUCAUGAAAAGAAUGCUUUAAGUGCUGGUUAUAUUGUUGAAUUCAUUCAUGAUGCUACUGAACAUUAUUAUGAGGGAGGACCAUAUGCUUGUAGGAAUUGCAAUAAUGUCAAGUUUCCUCUCUAUGUGUUGAAAAUCUUGAAGCUAUGCUUGUUUUACCUUCCUAUGCUAGUUGAUUAUUGUUCCCAUAAGUUGUUUGCUCACAAAAUCCCUAUGCAUAGGAAGUGGGUUAGACUUAAAUGUGCUAGUCAUAUUCUUCAUGAUGCUCCCUUUAUGUUUCAAUUCUUAUCUUUUAUGUGA